RNAcentral lists this long non-coding RNA (1589 nucleotides) under Physcomitrium patens. RNAcentral describes it as "long non-coding RNA (PPAT_LNC013696)". Lineage: Eukaryota; Viridiplantae; Streptophyta; Bryopsida; Funariales; Funariaceae. The record is from RNAcentral.
GUGCCCAACAUUGAGAACGCUAAUGAGAACGAACCAUGCAACUCCCACUAUUGAAAAGUGAGUGGAAGUGGGGGAGAAUCGGGCAGGGGCUUUGGGGGCAGGGUUGAAAUCUUGAGAAAAGGGACUGGCAGGGGUUUCGGAAGCGUUGGGGCCUCCUGCCCUGCCCUGCCCUGCCACUCUGGGAGUAUGAAAAGGUCAACCCCAAAGCCUAACUGGGCACCUGUCAGAAACCACGGGCAGACACUGGAAACUUUCACUUGGAUGCUCGGUCAUAGGGGCGUUCGUGGUCAUGAUGCCACUCUUAUGUUUGAACGUCGUGGGCUGUAAGUGUUUUUAUUUUAUUUUAUUUUAUUUUUACAAUGAGGGGGUUAUUCUCUUCAGUUUAUAGGGUUGACAUUUGUAAUACCACGGUAUUUUUUUUGUUUUUAUUUAUUUUCAUUUUCAUUUUUUUCUGACUGGGUUAUCAAACUAUUCCAAAGUAGAAGAUUUUCAUUUAUGGGUGAGCUGCAAGCUAUAAACAUGGUGUGUGGGUAGGAGCUCUGGGAUCAAUUAACAGGCUGAUAGUGGACAAAAAUAUAGUGCCAAAGACGGGGAGCUUCCACCAAGUGCCCUGUGACCAGAAAACAAGGCAAUGAACAAGCUUGUGGGAUUCAUUAAACUCAAGGCAUUUACUCAUCCUUUCCAUUGACAUGUUCAUCAAUAUAUGUAUAUAUACAUAUAUAUAUAUAUCUAGAGUUCUCCGAGGAUGACCACAAGUGUGUGUGUGUGGGGGGGAGGAGAUAGAAGCUCUUUCAGUUAUUCAUGGAUUGAAUAUGUGUAUGGAUGAGAAUAGACACUUGGACAAAUGGAGUAGUCUCUCAAUAUUUAGCUUUAUUUUGUUACUUGGUUGGAGAGUUUUGAGAAAAUGAUGUUCAUUUCACUACAUCAACAUUUGGAUUAAAACAUCAUAUUCUGAAAUAAAGUAAUGUUCUUUGAGUUGUAUAUAACUAUAUAUAUGCAUUGGUUUUAGUUGCUAUUCUUUUCUAUGUAUGUAAAAAUCAAUAAAUAAGUGUACCUAUUAUAUGUUGCUAGUGCAAAUAUCCUGAUUAUAUAUAUUUUUUACAUUUGAAAGAGAAUUUAAAAUAUAACAUUUUUUGAAUAGUUCUUAUGAAAAAACUAUCUCUCUAAAUUUGGCUGAAUAGCAAAACAUAGAAUUCACUUUUUCAUUUUUUUUCUCAAACCAUCAAAGUAAGUAUGGCUUGUUCAUUAAUUUCUACACAAAGCAACUUUCUAAAAUGUUUGUAUGCAGGUAUUUCACAAUGGAUAGAGUCAAGGCCAUAUGAAGGCGCAUUUUGAUUUUCUAUUAUUCAAAUACUACUUCACAUAUUUAUAACAUUCAAUGCUUUGAAUUUCCAACAAGUGAAUAUGUUCUCAUUAGAAACUACAAACAGGAAGUUUUAGGUCAAUCAACCUUCAUUGUGAACUUUCCUUGAAACCUUUACAUUUUGAAACAAACAGUUCAUAUAUCAAACAAAAAUAAUUUAUAAAUUUUAGACAUUUUGGUGUGGUCAGAUAGUAAUGAUAUAUUUAACCCCAUGGUUUGAAUAUAG